GAAGGGAUUAGAAAGGAGUGUUUGUUCGCCUCUGAAGUUUCUGAUGUGCUGUCUCUACAUUGCAAUCAUGAUCAUUACUGAGAAAAACCGUAGAGAGAUCUGCAAACACCUUUUCCAAGAGGAAGUUUUGUAUGCAAAGAAGGAUUUCAAUUUGGCUAAUCACCCAGAGAUUGAUGUGCCAAAUCUGCAAGUGAUUAAGCUGAUGCAAAGUUUCAAAUCUUGGG
This 224-nucleotide long non-coding RNA is filed under the name Medicago truncatula (barrel medic). Its description in RNAcentral is "lncRNA gene2979". The record is from RNAcentral. Lineage: Eukaryota; Viridiplantae; Streptophyta; Magnoliopsida; Fabales; Fabaceae.